This 385-nucleotide long non-coding RNA is filed under the name Capsella rubella. RNAcentral describes it as "long non-coding RNA (CRUB_LNC002737)". Lineage: Eukaryota; Viridiplantae; Streptophyta; Magnoliopsida; Brassicales; Brassicaceae. The record is from RNAcentral.
CCUGGUCUAGUUCGGUUCAAAAUUUGCAAGGCCCGGUCCAAUUUUUAUUGGGAUUACAUAUUCUCAUACCCGGUCCGAUCUAAACAUAGCUACAGUACAUAUGUUAUGGUUUUUUUUUUUUUUUGGAGUUUUUGUUCUAUAGAUCCGUAAUGUGCAAACAAUUUAGGGAUCAGUAUGUUUUUUAACAAAGCUAAAUAUAUUCAAAUAGAUACAAGGAUUAUUAACGAAUAAAUAAAAUAUUACAUCUAAGUAAAGUACUGUAUAAACAAUUGCAACAAGCAAAACAUAAGACGGUAUAGUUAAAUGUUAAAAACUGAAUAUGAAUAGUUAAAAACUGGAUCCCAUCUUUUCUACAAGUAUUGUUCCCAAACAUAUUUAAAUCCCU